Small nuclear RNA from Nyctereutes procyonoides (raccoon dog), 107 nucleotides. Lineage: Eukaryota; Metazoa; Chordata; Mammalia; Carnivora; Canidae. The record is from RefSeq and is a predicted model, not a curated record.
AUGUUUACUUUGGCAGCACGUAUACUAAAAUUGGAACUACAUGGAGAAGAUUAGCUUGGCCCCUGCACAAGGAUGACACACAAAUUCAUGAAGCAUUCCAUAUUAUG